AUUGAACGCUGGCGGCAGGCCUAACACAUGCAAGUCGAGCGGAUGAAGGGAGCUUGCUCCUGGAUUCAGCGGCGGACGGGUGAGUAAUGCCUAGGAAUCUGCUUGGUAGUGGGGGAUAACGUCCGGAAACGGGCGCUAAUACCGCAUACGUCCUGAGGGAGAAAGUGGGGGAUCUUCGGACCUCACGCUAUCAGAUGAGCCUAGGUCGGAUUAGCUAGUUGGUGGGGUAAAGGCCUACCAAGGCGACGAUCCGUAACUGGUCUGAGAGGAUGAUCAGUCACACUGGAACUGAGACACGGUCCAGACGCCUACGGGAGGCAGCAGUGGGGAAUAUUGGACAAUGGGCGAAAGCCUGAUCCAGCCAUGCCGCGUGUGUGAAGAAGGUCUUCGGAUUGUAAAGCACUUUAAGUUGGGAGGAAGGGCAGUAAGUUAAUACCUUGCUGUUUUGACGUUACCAACAGAAUAAGCACCGGCUAACUUCGUG
This 484-nucleotide ribosomal RNA is filed under the name uncultured bacterium. RNAcentral describes it as "partial 16S ribosomal RNA". It matches the Rfam family "Bacterial small subunit ribosomal RNA", at positions 30 to 507 of the family's 1533-position model. The record is from RNAcentral.